Non-coding RNA from Beta vulgaris subsp. vulgaris (sugar beet), 88 nucleotides. NCBI's taxonomy places the organism in Eukaryota, Viridiplantae, Streptophyta, Magnoliopsida, Caryophyllales, Amaranthaceae. The record is from Rfam.
CCGACCUUAGCUCAGUUGGUAGAGCGGAGGACUGUAGUUGGUCAAACAGACUAUCCUUAGGUCGCUGGUUCGAAUCCGGCAGGUCGGA